GACGAACGCUGGCGGCGUGCUUAACACAUGCAAGUCGAACGGAAAGGCCCUGCUUGCAGGGUACUCGAGUGGCGAACGGGUGAGUAACACGUGGGUGGUCUGCCCUGCACUUCGGGAUAAGCCUGGGAAACUGGGUCUAAUACCGGCUAGGAGCCAUUUUUAGUGUGAUGGUUGGAAAGUUUUUUCGGUGUAGGAUGAGCUCGCGGCCUAUCAGCUUGUUGGUGGGGUAAUGGCCUACCAAGGCGGCGACGGGUAGCCGGCCUGAGAGGGUGGACGGCCACAUUGGGACUGAGAUACGGCCCAGACUCCUACGGGAGGCAGCAGUGGGGAAUAUUGCACAAUGGGCGCAAGCCUGAUGCAGCGACGCCGCGUGGGGGAUGACGGCCUUCGGGUUGUAAACUCCUUUCGCUAGGGACGAAGCUUUUUGUGACGGUACCUAGAUAAGAAGCACCGGCUAACUACGUG
This 465-nucleotide ribosomal RNA is filed under the name uncultured bacterium. Its description in RNAcentral is "partial 16S ribosomal RNA". It matches the Rfam family "Bacterial small subunit ribosomal RNA", at positions 28 to 507 of the family's 1533-position model. The record is from RNAcentral.